GACGAACGCUGGCGGCGUGCUUAACACAUGCAAGUCGAACGGAAAGGCCCUGCUUGCAGGGUGCUCGAGUGGCGAACGGGUGAGUAACACGUGGGUGAUCUGCCCCUUACUUUGGGAUAAGCCUGGGAAACUGGGUCUAAUACUGGAUAGGACCAUGCUGUAGGUGGUGUGGUGGAUAGAUUAGUUUCGGUAAGGGAUGAGCUCGCGGCCUAUCAGCUUGUUGGUGGGGUAAUGGCCGACCAAGGCGUCGACGGGGAGCCGGCCGGAGAGGGUGGACGGCCACAUUGGGACUGAGAUACGGCCCAGACGCCUACGGGAGGCAGCAGUGGGGAAUAUUGCACAAUGGGGGCAAGCCUGAUGCAGCGACGCCGCGUGGGGGAUGACGGCCUUCGGGUUGUAAACUCCUUUCAGCCAUGACGAAGCCCUUGUGGUGACGGUAGUGGUAGAAGAAGCACCGGCUAACUACGUG
This 469-nucleotide ribosomal RNA is filed under the name uncultured bacterium. RNAcentral describes it as "partial 16S ribosomal RNA". It matches the Rfam family "Bacterial small subunit ribosomal RNA", at positions 28 to 507 of the family's 1533-position model. The record is from RNAcentral.